UGGUUCUGGCAUCGAUGAAGAACGCAGCGAAAUGCGAUAAGUAAUGUGAAUUGCAGAAUUCAGUGAAUCAUCGAAUCUUUGAACGCACAUUGCGCCCGCCAGUACUCUGGCGGGCAUGCCUGUUCGAGCGUCAUUUCAACCCUCAAGCUCUGCUUGGUGUUGGGGAUCGGCACAGCGCCCUCGCGGCGCCGCCGUCCCCUAAAUCUAGUGGCGGUCCCGCUGUAGCCUCCUCUGCGUAGUAGUUUACUCCUCGCUCUGGAAUCUCGGCGGUGCCCUGCCGUAAAACCCCCAACUUCUGAAAGGUUGACCUCGAAUCAGGUAGGAAUACCCGCUGA
Molecule: unclassified non-coding RNA, 335 nt
Filed under: uncultured fungus
Lineage: Eukaryota; Fungi
Description: partial contains 5.8S ribosomal RNA and internal transcribed spacer 2
Rfam family: 5.8S ribosomal RNA (bases 1-133)
Source: RNAcentral